AUGCAAAGAGAAUCCCUGGUAGAUGCAUUUUUCACUUCCAUGGGUCACAGUGGGUCCUGGGACAUAACCAAAAAACACAUUGUGGCCUCCAUCCGGAGAUGGGGGUGGCGGAGAGAAGCUGGCCCAGAUACACCGGUUGGAAGGCUGUUGCAGGAAUUCAGAUUACAACAAUCCAUUUUAACUACUAUGAAAUGGUUCUGGAAUGACACUGUUGUGAAGAGGAAAUUCCAGCGGAGCUACUGGAGCAAGCCUUUGAUCUGCCAUAUUGAGCUCCUCCAGCCAUGCAGAUUCGCUGCACUAUAAGAAAAACAUUUCUAUGACCACUUUAAAGCUAAAUUCAUUUCAGGUUUGUCCUGAAGAGAGACUCAGAGAAGGCUAAAAGGCUAGCCCAGGCUUCCAUUUUGAGACAGCGAGAGUAUCCAGCAAUAUGACGGAGGUAACAAGUGACAAGUAGGAUUGUGUGGGGCUUUUUCUUUGAAGAUCUUCUGUAGUAAACCAGAAUGGAACUUGUCUAUUUACAACAUUUUUCCAUUUUUCUGGGCAGUCAAUAAAACAUAACAUUACCAACAUCAUUUUCUCUCACCUAAUCUAGGAGAUUUUUCUUUAUGUCGUUUUUUAAUACUUUAUUCAUUAUAAAAGUUUUUCCACCUUUUACAUUUUGCAGUUACUAAUAUUAAGAAACGAAAUGCCAAUUUGUUUGCAAGCCAUGUAAAAGGAACAUCUUAACAGGAUAGCAAAUGAUUAAACAUAUGGUGUGUUGUGUGGCAUAUAUUUGAUGGUUUUGUGACCAGAAAUGGUCUAAUAUCUAGUGUUUCAUCUUAUACCAUCAAAGUAAGGUCAUCUUUGUCCUAUUUCUUUAUUCCUCUUUGUGCUCAUAUAUAUUUAUUGAACAUUUGUGUGUAUUUAGCAGUGACAGGGAUGAAAAUAGUCUGAGUUUUAGGGAAGCAUUGUUUUUCAGGCUUCAAUAAUAAAACCGAUAUUUUCCAGGGCACAGAAUGCCUACCUGUGCCUAGGUGAUAAGGUCUCGAGCACAAUGAGCUCUUUUGUUCUGAGAAGCAGCCCAGGCUUAUUCUGCUACUUCUCCCUGUUUUACAAUCUUGCUAAGGUUGACCUUUAGCUAUCUUGUGGUGCUUUUUCAACAAAAAUAAAAUUCUUAACUGGUUUUUAUGACUGACUAUAAAACCUCCCUUUCAACUUCACCUGUUAAUAAAGUGAACUAGCUCUUCCUUCUCCUUUAUACUUGGAAAAAAUAGAAUAAAAACAACAAACAAAAUAGUUACUGGAAAUUUUAGACUAACAGAAAAAAAAAAGGUAUUGAGGUUAGUCUUACAAUGUGUAAGAUUCUCAAAUAGUCCUUAAAUAUAAUCCUUAAUUUAAUUUUUAAAAUGCUGUGUUUUCUUAAACCACUUCUCUCUCUUUCACAUCCCCUCUACCACCACCCUGGGGGUCUUUUGCAAUAGAGGACUUUCCCUGGUAGAAUGUUCACAGGAUUCACUUUUGAUAUGGGUUAUUUUUUGGAACAAUGGCAGAUUGAUUGAUGGGUAGUUGGGGUAAUCUUUACUAUUUCGUACUGCUAUCUUUAAAUACUCAGUAGAUAAUUGCUCUGAUUAAAUUUGUCUGUUAAACACAGUAGCUUUGGUAAACAUUGCAAGAGGAUACAGUAAGGAUACAGUAGUGCAAUCCCCUUUUAAUACUAAAAUAUUUUAUUUGAAUGUUUUUUUAAUCAAUAAAGAGCAAUUUAGUUCUCAGAGAUGCAUGGGCAAUUCCCAUUGAUUUGUAUGAAAUCCUUGGGUUCUUUUUAGAGUGAUGGAUGGUUUAGUGUGGUUGUUUAAAAAUAAAAUUGUAUUCUUGGGCUGGAGACUCCAUGCUGGAGAGAGAUGGUAUAUAAUGGAUGAAACUGGUCUCAUGGAAGUCCCUGAUGCUUAGUGAUAUUUAGGGGGCCAAAUAUCACUGAAUGGUUGGUUUCUGUUUUGAGACUGAAUAACUGUAUUAAUCUGUUUUGUGUUGCUAUAAAAAAAAACUGCUAUUGGCUAAAAUAUAAAGAAAAUAGGUUUAUUCAGCUCACAUUUCUGCAGGCAACCAUAUCUGCUCAGCUCCUGGUGAGGCCUCAGGAAGCUUUUACUCAUGGUGGAAGUUGAAAGGGGAGCAGGUCUGUCACAUGGUGAGAGAGGGAGCAAGAGAGACAGCGGGGAGUUCCCUGACUUUUUAACAAGCAGAUCUCAUGUGAACUCAUUACUGCCGGGAGAGCACCAAGUCAUUCAGUAAGUAUCCUCCCCUAUGACCCAAACACCUCUAGCUAGGCCUCACCUCCAACAUUGGGGAUCACGUUCCAACAUGAGAUUUGGAGGGGACUAACAUCCAAACUAUAUCUAUAAUGCUUCCCAGUGAUUCUCUAUCAUGUGCACUCCAGUGUUCCCAUACUGUACACAGUGUUACAUUUUAUUGCUGUGAAACUUUUAAUGAGUUAUUAUAUGUCGGGGCUUAGAAUGCUGUCUGGCACAGACUAAGUACUAUGUAAGGGUUAGAAAUAAUUGUUACUAGUUAUUCCAAGGCCAACUCCAGCCUUAACUCAUCAGCCAGGUGAGAUGGAAAUGGAAGCAUGGCUUAGGAAAGAAAGUGUAUCAGUUAACAUUAGCUGUCUAACACAGAAAUGUCAAUUGCAAUGGUUUAAAAAUAGCAACCAUGUAUUUAGCUUAUGGGUCUUUGGAUCAUCAAGUUGGACUGGGCUCAGGUUGGCAGUUUUUCUGCUUUUGGCUCUGCUUAGCAUAAACAUCUCUGGUCAGUAUAAGCAUAAACAUCUUUGGUCAGUGGCCAGGUCACCUGGUGUCUGACUAGUCUAGGAUGGGCUCAGCUGGGAUGGCUUGUCUUCGCUUCACAGGUUAGCUUGAGCAUGAUGUCAUGGUGAAGCCAGGGGAGCAAGUCACGAAGACAGGCUUAGAUUGGCCAAAGAAAACUCCAAGUCCAACCCAGAUUCACUGGGUGGGGAAAUAAACUCUACCUGUUGCAAAAUCACAGUGGAAAAUGAGUGGAUAGAAAAGAGCGAAGGAUUUUACAAUCUGCCACAUCAGAGGCUGCUGUGAGAGAUGAAGUGGAGAAGCAAUUAGAGGACUGGGAUGUGCGUUUGUGCAUUCAUCUGAAUGUACAAGUACAUGCCUUUUGGGGAUGAAGAAAGAAUACAAGGCUCCAGAGUCAUGAUUUCAGGUGACUUGGGAUAUGGUGGCACUAUGCAGAUAAAUAGGAAAUACAGUAGGAGAAGCAUUUACCUUUGAAUGUAUAGAAUUUAAAACAGAGAUGACGUGUUUAAGAGAAAGUGUCCAGUAAGGGGUCCGGAAAUCCACAGAGAAACCAGGCCUACAGAUAAGAUAUUUAGGAUGUCAACAGAUGUAAAUAGAUGCAAACAGCAACAACUACCUGUUGUUUUCCUAGCCACCAUGUGUUUAGAGAAUUAGCAUGGUUUACUUUUGAGUCUCCCCUUAGUGGACACACUCUUUCCAACUGUUAGUUCAUGUGAUUCGGAUGAGCCCAACCCUGGCCAUCUGCCAUUCAGGUCUGGCCAAUCAGCACAUUCCAGCCCUCUGGUCAUAGGGAUUGGUUUGGGAAUGGCAUUGGACCAAAUUGGUUCUAACAAAAUGAAAUCCUGGCACUUUUGUUGAAUCCGUUGGAACUUUCUUUUCCUUCUACAAGAGCUACUAAGCUGGAGGGCCAUAGAACUGCUGGAGGUCGUAUUAUCAGUAGAGUCUGCCUAGGAGGGAAGCCAACGAAACAAAAGUAGAGCAGAGAGAGAGAGAGAGAGAGAGAUGCAAUUUAGACCCCUGAAUCCAGCUGUACCUAAAGACAUGUCUCUUUACAAACUGUUCAAUUUUAGGAACCAAUACAUUUUCUUUUUUACUUGAACUGGUUUGAAUUGGGUUUCUGUCAUAUGUUACUAACAUGAAAAGAGAAAAGGAUAUAAACUUAGAAGACAAUUGCAUUUUGUGGGGCUGAAGGAAAAUUAGAGUAUGUAAUAAAAGCUUAUGGAACUAAGAAAUCCAAGAAGAAGGAGACUUAACAAAAAGGAAUAACAUGUUGACAUUGUCCCAUGUCAGGGAGCAAGGGCUCUGUAGAGAGUGUUGACUUGGGGGCCAGGACGCCUCUGAGGGAGUGCUCUUGGCAGCAGGGUGGAAGAAAGGAAGGUGCCCUGCCAGGAACUAAGGAAAGGGUGGGCGGUUUCCUUUGCCCAUAAAAGGGCCUCCUAGUCACUCAAACUUGAAACCUUGGAAUCAACUCUUCCUCCUCGCUCUGCCACAGCCCACACAUCUAAACAGUCUUCUUGUCCUGUAAACUCUCCCUCCACAAUUGCUGUUGGACUCCUACCUUCCUUCACAUUUCCACUGCCAAGGGCUGACUCCAGGUGUCUAAUGUUCCUGUCCUGGAACCUGGCCUCUUUGCAGCUCCUGUGCCCAUUGUCCCUCCACCUCUGUCAUCAAUUCUUUAUUCUGCUGCCAGAUUAUUUGUCCUAAGGCUCAGUUCUGAUUGUGAAAUAGCCACACACAGUGAAGAGUCCCUGGUUGGGGAACCCAGCACCAGCUCUGACAGGCUAUAGGAUCUUAGAAAAGAUUCUGAUCCUCUCUAGGUGUGGGAAUCUAAUCUUUGAAGGGAAGGGUUGAACCAGACUGUGACAUUUAUUGCCUCUCCAUCGC
This 4679-nucleotide long non-coding RNA is filed under the name Macaca fascicularis (crab-eating macaque). RNAcentral describes it as "lncRNA (ENSMFAG00000048184.1)". Lineage: Eukaryota; Metazoa; Chordata; Mammalia; Primates; Cercopithecidae. The record is from RNAcentral.